RNAcentral lists this ribosomal RNA (61 nucleotides) under Thermoactinomyces vulgaris. RNAcentral describes it as "partial 16S ribosomal RNA". The record is from RNAcentral. Lineage: Bacteria; Bacillati; Bacillota; Bacilli; Caryophanales; Thermoactinomycetaceae.
UCGUAACAAGGUAUCCCUACCGGAAGGUGGGGAUGGAUCACCUCCUUUCUAAGGAGCUCAU